CGGCAGCACGGACUUCGGUCUGGUGGCGAGUGGCGAACGGGUGAGUAAUGUAUCGGAACGUGCCCAGUAGCGGGGGAUAACUACGCGAAAGCGUAGCUAAUACCGCAUACGCCCUACGGGGGAAAGCAGGGGAUCGCAAGACCUUGCACUAUUGGAGCGGCCGAUAUCGGAUUAGCUAGUUGGUGGGGUAACGGCUCACCAAGGCGACGAUCCGUAGCUGGUUUGAGAGGACGACCAGCCACACUGGGACUGAGACACAGCCCAGACUCCUACGGGAGGCAGCAGUGGGGAAUUUUGGACAAUGGGGGAAACCCUGAUCCAGCCAUCCCGCGUGUGCGAUGAAGGCCUUCGGGUUGUAAAGCACUUUUGGCAGGAAAGAAACGUCAUGGGCUAAUACCCCGUGAAACUGACGGUACCUGCAGAAUAAGCACCGGCUAUCUACGUGCCAGCAGCCGCGGUAAUACGUAGGGUGCAAGCGUUAAUCGGAAUUACUGGGCGUAAAGCGUGCGCAGGCGGUUCGGAAAGAAAGAUGUGAAAUCCCAGAGCUUAACUUUGGAACUGCAUUUUUAACUACCGAGCUAGAGUGUGUCAGAGGGAGGUGGAAUUCCGCGUGUAGCAGUGAAAUGCGUAGAUAUGCGGAGGAACACCGAUGGCGAAGGCAGCCUCCUGGGAUAACACUGACGCUCAUGCACGAAAGCGUGGGGAGCAAACAGGAUUAGAUACCCUGGUAGUCCACGCCCUAAACGAUGUCAACUAGCUGUUGGGGCCUU
This 770-nucleotide ribosomal RNA is filed under the name uncultured Burkholderiales bacterium. RNAcentral's name for it is "SSU rRNA". It matches the Rfam family "Bacterial small subunit ribosomal RNA", at positions 67 to 832 of the family's 1533-position model. The record is from RNAcentral. Lineage: Bacteria; Pseudomonadati; Pseudomonadota; Betaproteobacteria; Burkholderiales.